RNAcentral lists this ribosomal RNA (427 nucleotides) under uncultured bacterium. Its description in RNAcentral is "partial 16S ribosomal RNA". It matches the Rfam family "Bacterial small subunit ribosomal RNA", at positions 355 to 774 of the family's 1533-position model. The record is from RNAcentral.
UGGGGAAUAUUGCACAAUGGGCGCAAGCCUGAUGCAGCCAUGCCGCGUGUAUGAAGAAGGCCUUCGGGUUGUAAAGUACUUUCAGCGGGGAGGAAGGUGUUGUGGUUAAUAACCACAGCAAUUGACGUUGCCCGCAGAAGAAGCACCGGCUAACUCCGUGCCAGCAGCCGCGGUAAUACGGAGGGUGCAAGCGUUAAUCGGAAUUACUGGGCGUAAAGCGCACGCAGGCGGUCUGUCAAGUCGGAUGUGAAAUCCCCGGGCUCAACCUGGGAACUGCAUUCGAAACUGGCAGGCUAGAGUCUUGUAGAGGGGGGUAGAAUUCCAGGUGUAGCGGUGAAAUGCGUAGAGAUCUGGAGGAAUACCGGUGGCGAAGGCGGCCCCCUGGACAAAGACUGACGCUCAGGUGCGAAAGCGUGGGGAGCAAACA